RNAcentral lists this transfer RNA (74 nucleotides) under Elusimicrobiota bacterium. Its description in RNAcentral is "tRNA-Pro". It matches the Rfam family "tRNA". From Rfam's summary of the family: Transfer RNA (tRNA) molecules are approximately 80 nucleotides in length. Their secondary structure includes four short double-helical elements and three loops (D, anti-codon, and T loops). The record is from RNAcentral. Lineage: Bacteria; Pseudomonadati; Elusimicrobiota.
CUGGGUUAAGCGUUACGGCAGCGUACUCCCCUCGGACGGGAGAGGCGGGGGUUCAAUUCCCUCAACCCAGACCA